Molecule: ribosomal RNA, 375 nt
Filed under: Dermanyssus cf. triscutatus LEcEN:SIA:Ornis63
Lineage: Eukaryota; Metazoa; Arthropoda; Arachnida; Mesostigmata; Dermanyssidae
Description: partial large subunit ribosomal RNA
Rfam family: Bacterial large subunit ribosomal RNA (bases 106-375)
Source: RNAcentral
UAAGAUUUUAAAUGGGUGCUAAGAGAAUGGAUGAAUAUUUAUGUAUUUUUUAAUAAAAAAGAUUGGAAUUUAAUUUAAGAAUGAAAAAGUUUUUAUGAUUAGUUGGGACAAGAAGACCCUAUGAAUCUUAAUUAAUUAUUUUAUAUCAUAUAAAAUUUUAAUUUAAUUGGGGCGAUUAAAAAAGAAUAAUUAUCUUUAUUUUGAAUUUAAAUUUUAAAUAGGUGAAAAGAUACUCUAGGGUUAACAGCGUUAUUAUUUUGGAAAGUUCAUAUUGAUAAAAUAGUUUGCGACCUCGAUGUUGAAUUAAUGAACCUUCUUAGGGUAGUUUUUAAGAAAGGUAGAUUGUUCCUCUAUUAAAUCAUUACUUGAUCUGAG